CGGGUUAAUAUUCCCGAACUCGGACGUGGAUAUCGGUGCUUGCACCAGAUGCGGUAACGCAAACGAACCCGGAGACGCUGGCAGAAGCCCUGGGAAGAGUUCUCUCUUCUUUUGUUAGGGACGAAUUCCGUGGAAUCGCUUCGCGCGGAGAUACGGAUGAUGUUCCCGUAAAGCAUCGCGGUUUUGCGGUGUCCGGUGCGCUUCUUCUGGCCCUUGAAAAUCCGGGUAAGAGAUUGAUUUUCACGCCGAAUCGUACCCAUAUCCGCAGCAGGUCUCCAAGGUGAACAGCCUCUAGUCUUUGAACAAUGUAGGCAAGGGAAGUCGGCAAAUUAGAUCCGUAACUUCGGGAAAAGGAUUGGCUCUAAGGGCUGGGCCGUUCGAGCUCCGGUUAGAAGCGAUGGUCGAUGCGUAGGAACUGGGUAAACUGAUCGCAAGGUUGGUGAACUCGGACCUUAGUCAUUGUGCUGCCGUGGAAGGCCGAAGCUACGUCGUGUGAUUCUUCGCGGGAUUGCCGAUUUCGGGCGGCGCUAAGCAGCCAACUUAG
RNAcentral lists this ribosomal RNA (544 nucleotides) under uncultured eukaryote. RNAcentral's name for it is "eukaryotic LSU rRNA". It matches the Rfam family "Eukaryotic large subunit ribosomal RNA", at positions 1606 to 2111 of the family's 3401-position model. The record is from RNAcentral.